GACGAACGCUGGCGGCGUGGAUUAGGCAUGCAAGUCGAACGGUAGGAUACCUUCGGGUAUCUGAGAGUGGCGAACGGGUGAGUAACACGUAGGUGAUCUACCCUCAAGAUUGGGACAACCCAGGGAAACUUGGGCUAAUACCGGAUGAAAGCAGCAGUGAUGUUGUUUGAAAGGUGGCGUAAGCUGCCGUUUGGGGAUGAGCCUGCGUCCUAUUAGUUAGUUGGCGGGGUAAAGGCCCACCAAGGCGAUGAUAGAUAGGCGGCCUUAACGGGUGGUCGCCCACACUGGGAUUGAGAUACGGCCCAGACUCCUACGGGAGGCAGCAGUCGAGAAUAGUCUACAAUGGCCGAAAGGCUGAUAGUGCGACGCCGCGUGAACGAAGAAGCCCUUCGGGGUGUAAAGUUCUUUUAUAUGUGAGCAGUGCUUUCUAUGUGAACAGCAUGGGGAAGAGAUAUUAGCAUAUGAAUAAGCAACGGCUAACCGUCGUCGCAGCAC
Molecule: ribosomal RNA, 495 nt
Filed under: uncultured bacterium
Lineage: Bacteria
Description: bacterial SSU rRNA
Rfam family: Bacterial small subunit ribosomal RNA
Source: RNAcentral